Molecule: non-coding RNA, 187 nt
Organism: Cajanus cajan (pigeon pea)
Lineage: Eukaryota; Viridiplantae; Streptophyta; Magnoliopsida; Fabales; Fabaceae
Source: Rfam
GAUGAGGUAAGAGAGCUUUCUUCAGUCCACUCAUAGGUGGUACCUGUACGGUUCAAUUAGCUGCCGACUCAUUCAUCCAAAUGCUGAGUGAAGAUAGAUACUUAGUAAAUGAGUGAAUGAUGCGGGAGACAAAUUGAAUCUUAAGCUUCCUGUACUUGGACUGAAGGGAGCUCCCUUUUUCUUCUUU